CCGGCGACCGGCGCACGGGUGAGUAACACGUAUGGAACCUGCCCGCCACAGGGGGAUAACCCGGCGAAAGUCGGACUAAUACCGCAUGAAGCAGGGGCCCCGCAUGGGGAUAUUUGCUAAAGAUUCAUCGCUGAUAGAUAGGCAUGCGUUCCAUUAGGCAGUUGGCGGGGUAACGGCCCACCAAACCGACGAUGGAUAGGGGUUCUGAGAGGAAGGUCCCCCACAUUGGUACUGAGACACGGACCAAACUCCUACGGAAGGCAGCAG
RNAcentral lists this ribosomal RNA (267 nucleotides) under uncultured bacterium. Its description in RNAcentral is "partial 16S ribosomal RNA". It matches the Rfam family "Bacterial small subunit ribosomal RNA", at positions 88 to 354 of the family's 1533-position model. The record is from RNAcentral.